RNAcentral lists this ribosomal RNA (590 nucleotides) under uncultured Alphaproteobacteria bacterium. Its description in RNAcentral is "partial 16S ribosomal RNA". Lineage: Bacteria; Pseudomonadati; Pseudomonadota; Alphaproteobacteria. The record is from RNAcentral.
GGGAGCUCUCCCAUAUGGUCGACCUGCAGGCGGCCGCGAAUUCACUAGUGAUUCGUAUUACCGCGGCUGCUGGCACGGAGUUAGCCGGGGCUUUCUUGGUCAGGUACCGUCAUUAUCUUCCCUGCUGAAAAGGGCUUUACAACCCUAAGGCCUUCAUCACCCACUCGGUAUUGCUGGAUCAGGCUUUCGCCCAUUGUCCAAUAUUCCCCACUGCUGCCUCCCGUAGGAGUCUGGGCCGUGUCUCAGUCCCAGCGUGGCUGAUCAUUCUCUCAAACCAGCUACAGAUCAUUGGCUUGGUAGGCCAUUACCCUACCAACUACCUAAUCUGGCGCGGGCUCAUCCAUCAGCGAUAAAUCUUUCCUCCAAAGAGAAUAUACGGUAUUAGCAAUUAUUUCUAAAUGUUAUUCCGUACUGAUGGGCAGAUUCCCACGUGUUACUCACCCGUCUGCCACUAAUUUAUUUAAAGCAAGCUCUAAAUAAAUCCGUUCGACUUGCAUGUGUUAAGCAUACCGAAAGCGUUCGUUCUGAGCCAUGAUCAAACUCUAAUCGAAUUCCCGCGGCCGCCAUGGCGCCCGGGAGCAUGCGACGUC